UGGGGAAUUUUGCGCAAUGGGCGAAAGCCUGACGCAGCGACGCCGCGUGUGCGAUGAAGGCCUUUGGGUCGUAAAGCACUGUCGACCGGGACGAAAACCUGCGAGCUAAUACCUCGCAGGCUUGACGGUACUGGUAAAGGAAGCACCGGCUAACUCUGUGCCAGCAGCCGCGGUAAUACAGAGGGUGCAAACGUUGCUCGGAAUUAUUGGGCGUAAAGCGCGUGCAGGCGGCUCGUUAAGUCGACUGUGAAAGCCCUUGGCUCAACCAAGGAAGUGCAGUCGAAACUGGCGAGCUAGAGUCCCGAAGAGGGUGGCGGAAUGCCAAGUGUAGAGGUGAAAUUCGUAGAUAUUUGGUAGAACACCAGUGGCGAAGGCGGCCACCUGGGAGGCGACUGACGCUGAGACGCGAAAGCGUGGGGAGCAAACAGGAUUAGAUACCCCCGUAGUCC
This 449-nucleotide ribosomal RNA is filed under the name uncultured bacterium. Its description in RNAcentral is "bacterial SSU rRNA". It matches the Rfam family "Bacterial small subunit ribosomal RNA", at positions 355 to 796 of the family's 1533-position model. The record is from RNAcentral.